This 253-nucleotide ribosomal RNA is filed under the name uncultured bacterium. Its description in RNAcentral is "partial 16S ribosomal RNA". It matches the Rfam family "Bacterial small subunit ribosomal RNA", at positions 524 to 776 of the family's 1533-position model. The record is from RNAcentral.
UACGUAGGGUGCAAGCGUUAAUCGGAAUUACUGGGCGUAAAGCGUGCGCAGGCGGUAUUGUAAGUCUGUCGUGAAAUCCCCGGGCUCAACCUGGGAAUUGCGUUGGAGACUGCAAGGUUAGAAUCUGGCAGAGGGGGGUAGAAUUCCACGUGUAGCAGUGAAAUGCGUAGAGAUGUGGAGGAACACCGAUGGCGAAGGCAGCCCCCUGGGUCAAGAUUGACGCUCAUGCACGAAAGCGUGGGGAGCGAACAGG